This 360-nucleotide transfer-messenger RNA is filed under the name Eubacteriales Family XIII. Incertae Sedis bacterium. It matches the Rfam family "transfer-messenger RNA". From Rfam's summary of the family: Bacterial tmRNA, also known as 10Sa RNA or SsrA, is named for its dual tRNA and mRNA-like properties. Its role is to liberate the mRNA from a stalled ribosome. To accomplish this part of the tmRNA is used as a reading frame that ends in a translation stop signal. The record is from RNAcentral. Lineage: Bacteria; Bacillati; Bacillota; Clostridia; Peptostreptococcales; Anaerovoracaceae.
GGGGAUGUAAAGGUCUCGACGGGGGUGAUGAAGCGGGACAAGCGAGCCGUAGUCGCCGAGUCUACGUUAAAAGCGGCACAACGUUUUAUUAAACGGCAAAGAAAAAACCAAUCUCGCCUUCGCAGCUUAGUCUGCGCGCGACGUCGGCCCGAGUUCACCUGCAGGUUCGGAUCCCGGCGCCAAUUAUGCAGGAAAACCCUAUGUGAUUUCUCGGUAGCAUAGGGGACCCACGAGAUAGCCGAUCCUGCGCCGCGCCUGUGAUGCGCGGGUGAGGCGAAAUAAACUAUCGCAGGAUGCGCUCGGAGAAAAUCCCGACGGAAACGCUUUCGGACGUGGGUUCAAUUCCCACCAUCUCCACCA